RNAcentral lists this unclassified non-coding RNA (1992 nucleotides) under Bactrocera latifrons. RNAcentral describes it as "uncharacterized LOC108967669, transcript variant X2". The record is from RNAcentral. Lineage: Eukaryota; Metazoa; Arthropoda; Insecta; Diptera; Tephritidae.
UUAAUAGGGAUGGUAAAUUCGAUUCCGAUUCUACUGGAGAAUCGAGUUUUCUCGUAAAAUAACCGAAUUUUCGGAAUCUAUCUUCAGUAGUCGAAGUCGAUUAAGAAUCGCUUCUUGAUAUUCGACUUUGUCCCACUCUGUCAUAAGUCGGCUACCGCGAGCAUUGAAUGGUGUUGUUUGAUUUAUCGCGCUUGUGGACAAUUUAAAGGAAAGUUAUUGAGUAAAAUUUACUUAUCGGUACCAUCUACGUACUAAAUUGUGUGAGUCAAAUUUACUUAUCAGUACCCUUUACGUCACGGGCUAUCAGAACAAAAUAUUUUGGAUGCAAUACNUGAACUAGAAUCUGACGAAGAAGACAAUUUGGAGUUGGAGCUUUGUAACUUUGAUGAGGAUUCUUGGGACAGUGUUGCAGAUGCCGAAUAUCAACCAGAAACGGAGGAAUUAAAUGAUGUCGAAGAAAAUUUGAUACACGUAAUCAUAAAUGCAGAAGAAGCUGAAACAGAAGAAAGGGAGGAAACACCUGGAAGCAGCAAACGUAAAAAACAGAAACUUAGUGAAGGGAGAAGAAAUGGAAGAUUAGCUGCUCAAGAAAUUCGUGAAACAGAAGAGUAAGGCACCUACCCUUGCUGCCCUAGGUCAAAAACCUCCNUCCAUAAAUAUUUUUCACAUUCGCCCUGGCCCAACAGCAAAUGCAAAUAAUUCAUUGUGUCCUUCCAGCUGCUUCAAACUAUUUUUUUCCGCAGACAUAUUGGAAGAGAUUUUGGUUUAUACAAAUAAAGAAAUAAACAUUCACAGGAAGAACUAUAACGAUAAAACUCACGCGGUUUUGUCAAAUUUGGAAAUGGACGAACUUGAAGCAUUCCUUGGUUUGUUAGUCUUGUCCGCUGCUUUCAAAGAUAAUCACUUGGCAACACAUAUUAUGUUUGACACUACCUACUGUGCGGAAAGGUAAAAGGCAACCAUGCCUGAGAGAAGGUUCAAAUUUAUCCUAAAUUGUCUAAGAUUCGAUGACAAAGAAACAAGAACUGCUAGAAGAGAAAUGACCAAACUAGCUCCAGUUUCUUCUAUUUGGGACAAACUUCUAAAGAAUUGCAGGGGCAUUAGAGGCAAAUUUCCAUUCAGGAUGUAUAUUCCCUCUAAACCGAAAAAGUAUGGGAUCAAAAUUGUCAUGUCUUGUGAUAGCGGAACAAAGUAUAUGUUGGAUGCCAUUGUUUACCUUGGAAAAGGGCACAAAUCGNAAUGUCAGGAUAGACUAUUGGUUUACGACUGUACCACUCAUUCAACGUCUCCGUCAUGAAUACAAAAUAACAACUGUUGGCACAAUAAAAAAAAAAACAAAAUAAACCACAAUUGCCUAUUGAAGCUACAGAUAUAAAGUUUCAAACACGAACCGCAUCCACUUCAUUGUUUAUAUUUCAUGAGGAUUUGACAGUUGUAUUAUGCAAACCCAAUAAUAAUAAACUUGUAUUAUUGGCGUGUUGUAUGCACCGUACAGGUAGUAUUCAGAAAUAGUGUAUGUGUACAACUCAACAAAAGGAGGAGUUGACAGUUUUGAUCAGAUGUGCCAAAACAUUAACCAUGGCAGGAAAACCAGGAGGUGGCCUCUAGCAUUUUUCCAAAAUAUGAAGAACAUAACUGCAAUAAACGCAUACAUCGUUUACGCGCACAACAUGUGUAGCCAUGGGCAAGAGCCAGAAUCCCGACUUAAUUUUAUGUUAUCUCUACACAAGGAGUUAACGGGAGGAUUUCAAAGGAAAAUAUUAGCUACUAAUACAAACAUGAGUCUGGCGUUGAAAAAAUCCAUUCAAAGUAUUGUAGGCACAAGUCAAGAGGCCCAUAGCUCCGGAGACGACCAAAAGGNGAAGAAAGUCUGUAAUUUUUGUAGUUAUACCAAACGUAGAUACACCACAACUUAUUGCAAUUGUGGAUUAGCUAUUUGCGGUGAACAUGCCCAAAAAAGUGCCCUGACUGUGCUUGAAAAAUUUCUAUGCA